AUGAUCCACAUCAUUUCCGAACUCAGAUGGAAAGAAUCUCUUGACAUUCCCGGCCUCUUUAAUCGCAUCAAUAAUCUUAGUCUGAUCCGCCAGCUGGGCAUGCCCCACUGUCGAUAUCACCACAUCCACCUCCUUAAUUGCCUUCACCAAACUCGCAUGAUCGUACAAAUCGCCAUAGAGAAGCGUAACGCCGGAGGUUUUGAAUCCCUCGAUGAGCUUGGCCUUGUCGGGAUUGGAAGCGGCUGUGGUUUCCCUCACCAGGGCGAAGGUCAGGUGCCCGGACCGCGCGCUGGCCUCGACGAUGAACUUGCCAAUGUAGCCGGUCCCGCCGAUGAUCAGGAUCUUGCUAUUCUCCCCGGCCAUGUUGAUGAGUUGAU
This 377-nucleotide unclassified non-coding RNA is filed under the name Hevea brasiliensis (rubber tree). Lineage: Eukaryota; Viridiplantae; Streptophyta; Magnoliopsida; Malpighiales; Euphorbiaceae. The record is from RNAcentral.